UACAGAGGUGGCAAGCGUUGCUCGGAAUCACUGGGCUUAAAGGGCAUGUAGGCGGGCGAGUAAGCGCCUUGUGAAAUCCCCCGGCUCAACCGGGGAACCGCUCGGCGAACUGCUCGUCUCGAGGGAGACAGGGGCGACCGGAACUCUGGGUGGAGCGGUGAAAUGCGUAGAUAUCAGGAGGAACACCUGUGGCGAAAGCGGCGCACUGGACCACAACUGACGCUGAGGCGCGAAAGCUAGGGGAGCAAACAGG
RNAcentral lists this ribosomal RNA (253 nucleotides) under uncultured bacterium. Its description in RNAcentral is "partial 16S ribosomal RNA". It matches the Rfam family "Bacterial small subunit ribosomal RNA", at positions 524 to 776 of the family's 1533-position model. The record is from RNAcentral.